UAAAGCAGUACUUUCUAAUAGGAUACUGUUUCAUUUGCUGCGAUCCAUACAGGUUCACUACUUGACUUCCGUUUGCCAUCAGGAAAAAACUCAAAAUGUUAGGCAACGUAGGUCGCAGUUUAUUAAGGAGUUCAGCAAUACAAAAACAGCUGAUGCUGCAGAAAAGAACUAUGUUGGAAGCACCUCCAAGAUAUAGAAUUUCUUUCGCUGAGAAAGUAAUAACUGGAGCCAUUACAACGUUUGCUGUUUGUGGCCCUAUAUGUUGGGUGACAUACUACACAGAUGCUUACUUAGAAGAAUCAAAUAAACAAUAAAAGAAAUGGAAUAACUUUACAUUGACAUUUUGUAUUUGAACAAAAUGACUCUACAUGUUUUAUUAAAAUAGCUUUGUGAAUAAACUAAGUACCCCUUCUUAA
This is a long non-coding RNA of Mytilus californianus (California mussel), 416 nucleotides long. RefSeq lists it as uncharacterized. Lineage: Eukaryota; Metazoa; Mollusca; Bivalvia; Mytilida; Mytilidae. The record is from RefSeq and is a predicted model, not a curated record. The transcript is spliced from 2 exons.